GGGUCGUUAGCUCAGUUGGUAGAAACAGUUGACUUUUAAUCAAUUGGUCGCAGGUUCGAAUCCUGCGACCCACCA
RNAcentral lists this transfer RNA (75 nucleotides) under Escherichia coli. RNAcentral's name for it is "tRNA-Lys". It matches the Rfam family "tRNA". From Rfam's summary of the family: Transfer RNA (tRNA) molecules are approximately 80 nucleotides in length. Their secondary structure includes four short double-helical elements and three loops (D, anti-codon, and T loops). Lineage: Bacteria; Pseudomonadati; Pseudomonadota; Gammaproteobacteria; Enterobacterales; Enterobacteriaceae. The record is from RNAcentral.